UUAUUCCAUAAGCUCUCAUCUUUCAUCUAAAAACUCUGCUAAAUUCUCCGUUCGAGCACUCCAUUCUUGUUGAGGCAGAGAACUGACUUGAGCGUCGGAGGGUCUUGCCGGAGCAACCCCACCACCGGUUUAGACUUCCUUUGCAGGUCCCGACGGUGACCGUGACUUCCUCGACUCCAGCUUCUCCGGCGCAAGCGGAUUUUUGCACCAACAAGGC
This 217-nucleotide long non-coding RNA is filed under the name Elaeis guineensis (African oil palm). RNAcentral's name for it is "long non-coding RNA (EGUI_LNC073794)". Lineage: Eukaryota; Viridiplantae; Streptophyta; Magnoliopsida; Arecales; Arecaceae. The record is from RNAcentral.